CCUUGAAAGAGGCACUCCCCUUCGGGCAGAUGUGUAGGUGCUGCAUGGUUGUCGUCAGCUCGUGCCGUGAGGUGUCGGCUUAAGUGCCAUAACGAGCGCAACCUCAUCAUUAGUUACCAUCAGGUAAGGCUGGGGACUCUAAUGAGACUGCCAUCGUAAGAUGUGAGGAAGGUGGGGAUGACGUCAAAUCAGCACGGCCCUUACGUCCGGGGCGACACACGUGUUACAAUGGGUGGUACAAAGGGCAGCUACCUGGCGACAGGAUGCUAAUCUCGAAAACCGCUCUCAGUUCGGAUCGGAGUCUGCAACUCGACUCCGUGAAGCUGGAUUCGCUAGUAAUCGCGCAUCAGCCACGGCGCGGUGAAUACGUUCCCGGGCCUU
This 381-nucleotide ribosomal RNA is filed under the name uncultured Proteiniphilum sp. RNAcentral's name for it is "bacterial SSU rRNA". It matches the Rfam family "Bacterial small subunit ribosomal RNA", at positions 999 to 1382 of the family's 1533-position model. Lineage: Bacteria; Pseudomonadati; Bacteroidota; Bacteroidia; Bacteroidales; Dysgonomonadaceae. The record is from RNAcentral.